UACGUAGGGGGCUAGCGUUGUCCGGAAUCAUUGGGCGUAAAGCGCGCGCAGGUGGUUUCUUAAGUCUGAUGUGAAAGCCCACGGCUCAACCGUGGAGGGUCAUUGGAAACUGGGGAACUUGAGUGCAGAAGAGGAAAGUGGAAUUCCAAGUGUAGCGGUGAAAUGCGUAGAGAUUUGGAGGAACACCAGUGGCGAAGGCGACUUUCUGGUCUGUAACUGACACUGAGGCGCGAAAGCUAGGGGAGCAAACAGG
RNAcentral lists this ribosomal RNA (253 nucleotides) under uncultured bacterium. RNAcentral describes it as "partial 16S ribosomal RNA". It matches the Rfam family "Bacterial small subunit ribosomal RNA", at positions 524 to 776 of the family's 1533-position model. The record is from RNAcentral.